CAUUUUUUGGAUAAAAUUAAUGCGAUAAGGUGUUGGCUAACUCUAAUACCAUAUUAAAUUUGGAUUUAUUCUGAACUUUCAAUUUAAAACCAAUUUACGGUAUAACUAGAAUAGUAAAUCUCUUAUAUAUCAUUCAUGUGUCAUCAAAAUUUUCAGUGUAACAUAUUUUCUUCAAUACGAAUUCAAUGAUCGAUUGCCAGAUUACGAUUAUAUAUAGUAAAUAGAAAUUGUAAUUCAGCAAUCGAUCUUGAGCUCGAUUUUUCAAAAAUUUAUUGUGGGUUUAAACCCUUUAAAAAAUCUUGUGUGGUUUCAACUUUGAAUGGAAAUGAAUGUGUAAGAAAAGUCUCAUACAAUUUAUUUAUGUGUCCACAAAAGCAUGUGGUGGAAGGUGGAAUAUACAAAGCUUAAGCUUUUGCCCCAACAUUUGAUCUCUUGAUGAACUAUUUUACUCACACAAAGGAAUAGGAUGAAACAUUUUUAGAUAACGACACCUAUAGACUAACUAUAACACUAUUUGGAAUGCAUUCAUUGUACAUUUUUUUGAAAAGACAUUCAUUG
RNAcentral lists this long non-coding RNA (558 nucleotides) under Brassica napus (rape). RNAcentral's name for it is "long non-coding RNA (BNAP_LNC001233)". The record is from RNAcentral. Lineage: Eukaryota; Viridiplantae; Streptophyta; Magnoliopsida; Brassicales; Brassicaceae.